This 89-nucleotide transfer RNA is filed under the name Achromobacter pulmonis. Its description in RNAcentral is "tRNA-Asp". Lineage: Bacteria; Pseudomonadati; Pseudomonadota; Betaproteobacteria; Burkholderiales; Alcaligenaceae. The record is from RNAcentral.
CGCGCACCGGCGAGGCGCCGGGCGCGCGCGGUAUCAGCGCCUUCGUGGUGGAUGCCGACACGCCGGGGUUCGAGGUCUCGGAGCGCAUC